CUCAACUAUAUUAUUUCCCAUAUAUUGUACAACAGUUAAAAAGGACAGAACAUGGACACACUGCAAUUGGGAUCAAGAAGAAGAUCUUCUCAGAAAUUAAUCAAGUCCAUGGAAUGGAUAUAGACAAAAAUAUAAUUCAAGGACUAGCGGAGGUAGAGAGGCGAGGCAGGGGUGAGGACAUCUUCCUGCUAUUUUGACAGUCCCUGAAGGACAAUACAGAAGAGGACUGGAGACCACAGCAGCGAUUCUGCUCUUGCCCAACAUCUUCAAUGAGGACCCGAGUGGCCUUUACGCCCGUGACAAGAUUUCACCGCUCUUCAAUCCUUUACUGCACAUCGGCGGAAAUCCAUUUCACCAUGAGAGUGAAAUCCCGCUGGCCUUUGAUGGGGAGAACAUCCACGCCCUCGAGGACGUCCCCAUGGGACUUGGGGCUCUGCUAGUGCUGGAUUUUUUAUUUUCCCUUAAAUUUCAGAAAAACACAUGUUCUUAAGUUUACUGUGCUCUGGGGAUGAGAGGGAUUAAUGAAAUAGCGGCCACAACAGACAGACCUGAUAUCGCCCAUAAUUCGAUGUCACGUGCUGACUGGGUAUGACCAAAGUUAUUCUAUUU
Oncorhynchus tshawytscha (Chinook salmon) is the source of this 609-nucleotide long non-coding RNA. Lineage: Eukaryota; Metazoa; Chordata; Actinopteri; Salmoniformes; Salmonidae. The record is from Ensembl.